UACGUAGGGACCGAGCGUUGUCCGGAUUCAUUGGGCGUAAAGAGCUCGUAGGCGGCUGUUCAAGUCGAACGUGAAGACUCGGAGCUCAACUCCGAGCCUGCGUUCGAUACUGGACGGCUAGAGUCUAGUAGGGGGAUCUGGAAUUCCUGGUGUAGCGGGUGGAAUGCGCAGAUAUCAGGAGGAACACCGGUGGCGAAGGCGGGAUCCUGGGCCAGUACUGACGCUGAGGAGCGAAAAGCGUGGGGGAGCAAACAGGG
RNAcentral lists this ribosomal RNA (257 nucleotides) under uncultured bacterium. RNAcentral's name for it is "partial 16S ribosomal RNA". It matches the Rfam family "Bacterial small subunit ribosomal RNA", at positions 524 to 777 of the family's 1533-position model. The record is from RNAcentral.